GGGGGGAUAGCCCAAGUGGUAGAGCACAUGCUUAGUAUGUAAAAGGCCCUGGGUUCAAUCCCCAGUACCUCCA
RNAcentral lists this transfer RNA (73 nucleotides) under Camelus bactrianus (Bactrian camel). It matches the Rfam family "tRNA". Rfam says of the family: Transfer RNA (tRNA) molecules are approximately 80 nucleotides in length. Their secondary structure includes four short double-helical elements and three loops (D, anti-codon, and T loops). Further hydrogen bonds mediate the characteristic L-shaped molecular structure. tRNAs have two regions of fundamental functional importance: the anti-codon, which is responsible for specific mRNA codon recognition, and the 3' end, to which the tRNAs corresponding amino acid is attached (by aminoacyl-tRNA synthetases). tRNAs cope with the degeneracy of the genetic code in two manners: having more than one tRNA (with a specific anti-codon) for a particular amino acid; and 'wobble' base-pairing, i.e. permitting non-standard base-pairing at the 3rd anti-codon position. The record is from Rfam by way of RNAcentral. Lineage: Eukaryota; Metazoa; Chordata; Mammalia; Artiodactyla; Camelidae. RNAcentral also lists the same sequence under 3 other names.